This 551-nucleotide ribosomal RNA is filed under the name uncultured Tylospora. RNAcentral describes it as "eukaryotic LSU rRNA". The stretch from base 192 to 346 matches the Rfam family "5.8S ribosomal RNA". The record is from RNAcentral. Lineage: Eukaryota; Fungi; Basidiomycota; Agaricomycetes; Atheliales; Atheliaceae.
CAUUAUCGAAUCGUAGGCGAGGGUUGUCGCUGGCCUCUCGGGGCAUGUGCACGCCCGAGCCCUUGAAUCCCAAACACCACAUGUGAACCCACCGUAGGCCUUCGGGCCUAUGUCUUAUCAUAUAAUCUGAAUGUCUAAUAGAAUGUAAACCCAUUUCGUUGCCUUGAAAACGUAACGAAAGAAAACUAUACAACUUUCAACAACGGAUCUCUUGGCUCUCGCAUCGAUGAAGAACACAGCGAAAUGCGAUAAGUAAUGUGAAUUGCAGAUUUUCAGUGAAUCAUCGAAUCUUUGAACGCACCUUGCGCCCCUUGGUAUUCCGAGGGGCAUGCCUGUUUGAGUGUCAUUAAAUCCUCAACCCCUCCGAUUCGUUUCGGUGGGGAUUGGACUUGGAGCGUGCUGGCGAAGGUCGCUCCUCUUUAAAUGCAUCAGCGGAGAAAAUGCCUUUUGCGCCUCUGGCCGUUCAGCGUGAUAAUGAUGUUGCGCUGCGGUCGAGCUUAAGGUCCGCUUCCAAAGGUCCUCGGACAAAUAUACAUAUGACUUUUGACCUC